AAUGAACGCUGGCGGCAGGCCUAACACAUGCAAGUCGAACGGAUCCUUCGGGAUUAGUGGCGGACGGGUGAGUAACGCGUGGGAACAUACUCUUUGGUACGGAAUAGCCUCGGGAAACUGGGAGUAAUACCGUAUGUGGUCGAGAGACGAAAGAUUUAUCGCCAAAGGAUUGGCCCGCGUUGGAUUAGGUAGUUGGUGGGGUAAUGGCCUACCAAGCCGACGAUCCAUAGCUGGUUUGAGAGGAUGAUCAGCCACACUGGGACUGAGACACGGCCCAGACUCCUACGGGAGACAGCAGUGGGGAAUCUUAGACAAUGGGGGAAACCCUGAUCUAGCCAUGCCGCGUGAUCGAUGAAGGCCUUAGGGUUGUAAAGAUCUUUCAGGUGGGAAGAUAAUGACUGUACCACCAGAAGAAGCCCCGGCUAACUCCGUGCCAGCAGCCGCGGUAA
RNAcentral lists this ribosomal RNA (449 nucleotides) under uncultured bacterium. RNAcentral's name for it is "partial 16S ribosomal RNA". It matches the Rfam family "Bacterial small subunit ribosomal RNA", at positions 29 to 523 of the family's 1533-position model. The record is from RNAcentral.